GAAAAUGGAUGGCGCUUGAGCGAGGGACCUAUACCCAGCCGUUGCUGGCUUGUGCGUUGUCUAGCGCCUGGCCGCAACGAGUAGGAGGGUCGUGGCGGUUGCGUCGAAGGCUUUGGGCGUAGGCCCAGCUGGAGCUUCCGUCAGUGCAGAUCUCGGUGGUAGUAGCAAAUAUUUAAGUUCGAUCCUUGAAGACUGAAGUGGAGAAGGGUUCCACGUGAACAGUAGUUGAAUGUGGGUCAGUCGAUCCUAAGAUACUGGCUUAUGCCUUGUAUCAUUGAGAGGGAAAAGUUUCUUUUCUCUCGGAUAUCAAAAGGGAAUAGGGUUAAUAUUCCCUAACGCAGACACAGAGAUUGCGGCUCUUUGAGUCGCUUGCGCGGUAACGCAUUCGAACUUGGUUACGUCGCUCAGAGACCGAGCUAGAGUUCUCUUCUCUAGUUAAGGAACGGACUCCCUGGAAUCGGUUCAGCCGUAGAUAGGGACGUUGUUUCCGUAAAGCAUCGCGGUUUCUGUGAUGUCUCGUGUUCUCUGGACGGCCCUUGAAAAACCAAGGAAGGCUAUCAAUCUGUGCUGCAUCGUACCGAUAUCCGCAUCAGG
This 594-nucleotide ribosomal RNA is filed under the name Uncinaria hamiltoni. RNAcentral's name for it is "eukaryotic LSU rRNA". It matches the Rfam family "Eukaryotic large subunit ribosomal RNA", at positions 1314 to 1863 of the family's 3401-position model. Lineage: Eukaryota; Metazoa; Nematoda; Chromadorea; Rhabditida; Ancylostomatidae. The record is from RNAcentral.